This 234-nucleotide ribosomal RNA is filed under the name Salmonella enterica subsp. enterica serovar Oranienburg. Its description in RNAcentral is "partial 16S ribosomal RNA". It matches the Rfam family "Bacterial small subunit ribosomal RNA", at positions 1 to 229 of the family's 1533-position model. Lineage: Bacteria; Pseudomonadati; Pseudomonadota; Gammaproteobacteria; Enterobacterales; Enterobacteriaceae. The record is from RNAcentral.
UUAAAUUGAAGAGUUUGAUCAUGGCUCAGAUUGAACGCUGGCGGCAGGCCUAACACAUGCAAGUCGAACGGUAACAGGAAGCAGCUUGCUGCUUUGCUGACGAGUGGCGGACGGGUGAGUAAUGUCUGGGAAACUGCCUGAUGGAGGGGGAUAACUACUGGAAACGGUGGCUAAUACCGCAUAAUGUCGCAAGACCAAAGAGGGGGACCUUCGGGCCUCUUGCCAUCAGAUGUG